Non-coding RNA from Ciona intestinalis (vase tunicate), 447 nucleotides. NCBI's taxonomy places the organism in Eukaryota, Metazoa, Chordata, Ascidiacea, Phlebobranchia, Cionidae. The record is from RefSeq and is a predicted model, not a curated record.
UAAUACUUAUUGUUUAAAAACAAUCGCCCACAAAGUUACAUACGUGGUUACUUCGGGCACGAGGUGUAUGAAACAGAGCACUCGUGUUCAUGGGCGCCGAUCCUGGGUAUGCGGCGCAUACCUCAGAAUAUUUAUAGCGUAUGCGGCAUACCCAUUUUCUAACGCUAAGGCCGUCUAGCGCUCUCAUUCUAAUUACUAAAGCAGGUGCGCAAUACGUUGGAUUUACGCGCGUAAGAAGUAUUUAUUGCAAACGUAUUGAUACUUUACUUGAUCGCAUGCGUGAAAAGGCAAAUAUCCAACCUGUUUUCAAGCUCCUGCAGGCAAAAUAUUCAAGGGGACAAUUGGUAUUAUGACGCAAAUUAUCAACGCGUGAAUUGCUAUUGUGUCGUAAUCAAUUACCAGGCCAGACAAUCGCUAUUGUAAUGCAAUGAAUCCACGUGUAGAUCC